AAAAUAGCAGUUCGUAGUGACCUGCGGAAGGAUCAUUAAAGAGUAAGGGUGCUCAGCGCCCGACCUCCAACCCUCUGUUGUUAAAACUACCUUGUUGCUUUGGCGGGACCGCUCGGUCUCGAGCCGCUGGGGAUUCGUCCCAGGCGAGCGCCCGCCAGAGUUAAACCAAACUCUUGUUAUAUAAACCGGUCGUCUGAGUUAAAAUUUUGAAUAAAUCAAAACUUUCAACAACGGAUCUCUUGGUUCUCGCAUCGAUGAAGAACGCAGCGAAAUGCGAUAAGUAAUGUGAAUUGCAGAAUUCAGUGAAUCAUCGAAUCUUUGAACGCACAUUGCGCCCCUUGGUAUUCCGAGGGGCAUGCCUGUUCGAGCGUCAUUACACCACUCAAGCUAUGCUUGGUAUUGGGCGUCCGUCCCUUCGGGGGCGCGCCUUAAAGACCUCGGCGAGGCCUCACCGGCUUUAGGCGUAGUAGAAUUUAUUCGAACGUCUGUCAAUGGAGAGGACUUCUGCCGACUGAAACCUUUUAUAUUUUUCUAGGUUGACCUCGGAUCAGGUAGGGAUACCCGCUGAACUUAAGCAUAUCAUAGACCGGGAGGAAA
This 597-nucleotide ribosomal RNA is filed under the name fungal endophyte. RNAcentral's name for it is "eukaryotic LSU rRNA". The stretch from base 220 to 373 matches the Rfam family "5.8S ribosomal RNA". The record is from RNAcentral. Lineage: Eukaryota; Fungi.